GAUUUUUAUUAACAUGUAGAUCCGAGUGAAGGUGAAGGGUCGUCGUCGUGUAGGGAGCUGGCGAGAGCGAUUCUGAAGUUAGGAGAUGGUGGAACCUGCGAAGGAGCAUGAGUUGCAACGUGUAUGAAUAUGUUGAUGGAUAUGCAAAUGGAGCUUGAAAGAUCCAAGCUUGCCAAACGUAGAGCUGCUGCUGCUUCAGGUAAGAAGUUGUAGGGAUUAGAUUGUGGAGAAGCUAUACUGUAGUAAAAAAGGAGCAUUGGUUGGAUCUGAGAGCUCAUUCGGAAUUGGAGAAACUGUUAUUAUUCUUACUCACUAGGUUUCAUGCUAGAGCAAUGUGUUUUUCUUCUGUUUCAUUCUCUUCUUUAGGGUACGUUGGUAGCAAAGCAGAUUGGUGAAAGAAACGCUUGUAGUAAUCUGACAGACAUAUCACCA
Long non-coding RNA from Brassica napus (rape), 432 nucleotides. RefSeq lists it as uncharacterized. Lineage: Eukaryota; Viridiplantae; Streptophyta; Magnoliopsida; Brassicales; Brassicaceae. The record is from RefSeq and is a predicted model, not a curated record. The transcript is spliced from 2 exons.